Molecule: ribosomal RNA, 274 nt
Filed under: uncultured bacterium
Lineage: Bacteria
Description: partial 16S ribosomal RNA
Rfam family: Bacterial small subunit ribosomal RNA
Source: RNAcentral
AUACGAAAGGUGCAAGCGUUGUUCGGAUUUACUGGGCGUAAAGAGAGUGUAGGUUGUUUAUUAAGUCGGAUGUGAAAUCCCGGGGCUCAACCUCGGAACUGCAUUCGAUACUGAUAGGCUAGAGUUUGGGAGGGGUAAGCGGAAUUCCGUGUGUAGCAGUAAAAUGCGUAGAUAUACGGAGGAACACCUGAGGCGAAGGCGGCUUACUGGACCAAUACUGACACUGAGACACGAAAGCGUGGGUAGCAAACAGGAUUAGAAACCCUAGUAGUCC